GACGAACGCUUGCGACGUGCCUGAGAAAUGCAAGUCGAGCGGCAGAUAGCCUUUCGGGGGUUGUCUGUAGCGGCGAACGGUCGAGUAACACGUAACCGACCUGCCCUUUGGUCUGGGAUAGCCCUCCGAAAGGGGGAGUAAUACCGGAUGGUCUCAUGUGGAGGCAUCUCUAUAUGAGUAAAGCUUUAUGUGCCGAAGGAGGGGGUUGCGGCCUAUCAGCUGGUUGGCGGGGUAACGGCCCACCAAGGCGACGACGGGUAGCUGGUCUGAGAGGAUGGUCAGCCGGAUU
Molecule: ribosomal RNA, 289 nt
Filed under: uncultured bacterium
Lineage: Bacteria
Description: partial 16S ribosomal RNA
Rfam family: Bacterial small subunit ribosomal RNA
Source: RNAcentral